CGUACAGGUCUCCGUAGGUGAACCUGCGGAGGNAUCAUUACACAAAUAUGAAGGCGGGCUGGAACCUCUCGGGGUUACAGCCUUGCUGAAUUAUUCACCCUUGUCUUUUGCGUACUUCUUGUUUCCUUGGUGGGUUCGCCCACCACUAGGACAAACAUAAACCCUUUGUAAUUGCAAUCAGCGUCAGUAACAAAUUAAUAAUUACAACUUUCAACAACGGAUCUCUUGGUUCUGGCAUCGAUGAAGAACGCAGCGAAAUGCGAUAAGUAGUGUGAAUUGCAGAAUUCAGUGAAUCAUCGAAUCUUUGAACGCACAUUGCGCCCUUUGGUAUUCCAAAGGGCAUGCCUGUUCGAGCGUCAUUUGUACCCUCAAGCUUUGCUUGGUGUUGGGCGUCUUGUCUCUAGCUUUGCUGGAGACUCGCCUUAAAGUAAUUGNCAGCCGGCCUACUGGUUUUGGAGCGCAGCACAAGUCGCACUCUCUAUCAGCAAAGGUCUAGNAUCCAUUAAGCCUUUUUUUCAACUUUUGACCUCGGAUCAGGUAGGGAUACCCGCUGAACUUAAGCAUAUC
Molecule: ribosomal RNA, 567 nt
Filed under: uncultured fungus
Lineage: Eukaryota; Fungi
Description: eukaryotic LSU rRNA
Rfam family: 5.8S ribosomal RNA (bases 206-359)
Source: RNAcentral